UACGUAGGGGGCAAGCGUUGUCCGGAUUUAUUGGGCGUAAAGAGCGUGUAGGCGGCCAGGUAGGUCUGGUGUGAAAACUCGAGGCUUAACCUCGAGAUGUCAUCGGAAACCAUUUGGCUAGAGUCCGGAAGAGGAGAGUGGAAUUCCUGGUGUAGCGGUGAAAUGCGCAGAUAUCAGGAAGAACACCCGUGGCUAAGGCGGCUCUCUAGUACGGUACUGACGCUGAGACGCGAAAGCGUGGGGAGCGAACAGG
This 253-nucleotide ribosomal RNA is filed under the name uncultured bacterium. RNAcentral's name for it is "partial 16S ribosomal RNA". It matches the Rfam family "Bacterial small subunit ribosomal RNA", at positions 524 to 776 of the family's 1533-position model. The record is from RNAcentral.